This 862-nucleotide long non-coding RNA is filed under the name Heterocephalus glaber (naked mole-rat). Its description in RNAcentral is "lncRNA (ENSHGLG00100042078.1)". Lineage: Eukaryota; Metazoa; Chordata; Mammalia; Rodentia; Bathyergidae. The record is from RNAcentral.
GCAGGGCCCGGCAGUGCUCUGAGCAGGGGAGCAGCGGGAGCGCGGGCCUGACGUCGGGCGGCGAGCAUUUACCCACCCGGAGGGGCGGCCGCGCCUGGGCCGUGCCCGCCGGGAGAGCAGUGCCAGGCGGCCACGGAGGAGCCGCUGUCUGGCUGCGUGGGGGCCGGGCAGCUCGGGCAGUCCGGAGCCCGCCCCAGCGCAGGUUCUCUGCGACCAGGAGCAGGCGAGAGGGCCCUGCCGGUCCCCGCUGAUUCCCCGGGGCUGCUCCUCCCCGUCUCUUCCCAGGACGGGCGGUCCUCGCCUCUGGGGAUGCCCAUGCCUGAGGUCAGCUCAGGCCGCAGUCGGCCGGGUGCGAGGCAGCCCUGGCCCGCUCCUUCCGCCCGGCCAGCGGACCGGUCCUCAGGGCUGUGGAGCACGGAGCGCGCUUGGUAAGAAAAUUAACACCAAGCACUGGGAUGGGCCACGAGCUUCGGGAACUGAACCCGCGGCCUCCUUAGCGCGGCCACGAAUUUCCCUGCUCGGCCUCAACCGCGCCCAGCUCAGCCGCGCAGCCGCUGCUUCUCUCAGAUCAGGGAAAUCACCUGGACAGUCUGCACCGAGCACCGGAGCGCGCAGCGUCCGGGAAAGCCGCAGUUUAACCUUCGCGUCUUCGUUGUCUGGGGGCGCAGAGGCCCAAGGCCUCCUGCCUCCCGCAGGGCCACACACAGCACCCCGUUUCCAGCACAUGCGCCAGACUCCGAGAGGACGCCUGUCCCCGUGGACGCUGCCUCUUCUUGUUCUCUGAGGCCUGGGGAGGAGAGAGAGGUGGCUCCCAGGGCAGGCGAAAGAGAAGAAAAGAAGAAGAAGAAGAAGAAGAGAGAAG